RNAcentral lists this unclassified non-coding RNA (370 nucleotides) under Hevea brasiliensis (rubber tree). Lineage: Eukaryota; Viridiplantae; Streptophyta; Magnoliopsida; Malpighiales; Euphorbiaceae. The record is from RNAcentral.
UUUUUUUUAAAAAAAAAAAAUGGUAUCUCUAUCAAGAGGGUACCUUUUUCUCCAAUAAAUUACUCAUUUUUCAUCCUCUUUCUAAUAAAUUCUUCUUCAUCUUCUCUUUUUUCUCACAUACAUGUACGAACAAGUGUAUGCACACAUGAACAAAAGGAUUAAAUCCUCGCCAUUUAAGACGUUAUACCGCUUGAUUAUGAAAUGUUUACUUGUACAGAUAUAAUCUAGAUUUUAAAAGAUCAAAUCACAGUUUAAUGAACAAAGCAUUAACUAUUUGGCCCCAGAGUAAAAUUUCCCAUAGAUUACCCUUGCAUAAAAAUGAUGAGUUGGUAUGAGAUUAGAUAAACUAGUAAUAGUUCAUAGUAGAUAU